UACGUAGGGUGCGAGCGUUAAUCGGAAUUACUGGGCGUAAAGCGUGCGCAGGCGGCUUUGCAAGACAGAUGUGAAAUCCCCGGGCUCAACCUGGGAACUGCAUUUGUGACUGCAAGGCUAGAGUACGGCAGAGGGGGAUGGAAUUCCGCGUGUAGCAGUGAAAUGCGUAGAUAUGCGGAGGAACACCAAUGGCGAAGGCAAUCC
Molecule: ribosomal RNA, 204 nt
Filed under: uncultured bacterium
Lineage: Bacteria
Description: partial 16S ribosomal RNA
Rfam family: Bacterial small subunit ribosomal RNA
Source: RNAcentral